Molecule: ribosomal RNA, 1444 nt
Filed under: uncultured organism
Description: bacterial SSU rRNA
Rfam family: Bacterial small subunit ribosomal RNA
Source: RNAcentral
AGAGUUUGAUCGUGGCUCAGGAUGAACGCUAGCGGCGCGCUUAAUGCAUGCAAGUCGAGCGAUGAGGCCUUCUUCGGAGGGCACAUCAGCGGCAGACGGGUGAGUAACACGUGGGUGACCUGCCCUUGAGACGGGGAUAACGGAUGGAAACAUGCGCUAAUACCCGAUAGGGUCCCAGGGUCAAAGCUGGGAUGAAAGCUUUGGUGCUCAAGGAGGGGCUCGCGGCCCAUCAGCUAGUUGGUGAGGUAACGGCUCACCAAGGCGAAGACGGGUAGGGGGUGUGAGAGCACGGCCCCCCACAAUGGGACUGAGACACGGCCCAUACUCCUACGGGAGGCAGCAGCAGGGAAUAUUGCACAAUGGACGGAAGUCUGAUGCAGCGACGCCGCGUGGAUGAUGAAGGCCUUCGGGUUGUAAAAUCCUUUACGGGGUGACGAGGAAGGACGGUAGCCCCGGAACAAGCGUCGGCUAACUACGUGCCAGCAGCCGCGGUAAGACGUAGGACGCAAGCGUUAUCCGGAUUUACUGGGCGUAAAGCGUCUGUAGGCGGAUGAGUAAGUUGGGCGUGAAAGCUCCGGGCUCAACCCGGAGAGGCCGUUCAAUACUGCUGAUCUAGAGGAGGCCAGAGGGGAGUGGAAUUCCUGGAGUAGCGGUAAAAUGCGCAGAUAUCAGGAAGAACACCAGUGGCGAAGGCGGCUCCCUAGGGCCCACCUGACGCUGAGAGACGACAGCUAGGGGAGCGAACAGGAUUAGAGACCCUGGUAGUCCUAGCCGUAAACGAUGGAUGCUAGGUGUAGGGCCGUAGAGGCUCUGUGCCGGAGCGAACGCGAUAAGCAUCCCGCCUGGGGAGUACGGCCGCAAGGCUAAAACUCAAACGAAUUGACGGGGACCCGCACAAGCAGCGGAGCGUGUGGUUUAAUUCGAUGCUACACGAAGAACCUUACCUGGGUUUGACAUGGGCGUGGUAGUGAAGCGAAAGCGGAGCGACCCUUCGGGGAGCGUCCACAGGUGCUGCAUGGCUGUCGUCAGCUCGUGCCGUGAGGUGUCGGGUUAAGUCCCGUAACGAGCGCAACCCUUGCCCUUAGUUACAAGUGUCUAAGGGGACUGCCGGCGGGAAGCCGGAGGAAGGUGGGGAUGACGUCAAGUCAGCAUGGCCCUUAUAUCCAGGGCUACACACACGCUACAAUGGCCGGUACAGAGGGCAGCGAAGCCGCGAGGUGGAGCGAAUCCCAGAAAGCCGGUCGUAGUUCGGGUUGCAGCCUGCAUGAAGCUGGAGUUGCUAGUAACCGCGCGUCAGCCAUAGUGCGGUGAAUACGUUCCCGGGUCUUGUACACACCGCCCGUCACGUCAUGGGAGUCGGUAACGCCUGAAGCCGGUAGCCUGACCCGCAAGGGAGGGCGCUGUCGAGGGCGGGGCUGGCGACUGGGACGAAGUCGUAACAAGG